This 253-nucleotide ribosomal RNA is filed under the name uncultured bacterium. RNAcentral describes it as "partial 16S ribosomal RNA". It matches the Rfam family "Bacterial small subunit ribosomal RNA", at positions 524 to 776 of the family's 1533-position model. The record is from RNAcentral.
UACGUAGGGGGCAAGCGUUGUCCGGAUUUAUUGGGCGUAAAGAGCUCGUAGGCGGCUUGUCACGUCGGUUGUGAAAGCCCGGGGCUUAACCCCAGGUCUGCAGUCGAUACGGGCAGGCUAGAGUGUGGUAGGGGAGAUCGGAAUUCCUGGUGUAGCGGUGAAAUGCGCAGAUAUCAGGAGGAACACCGGUGGCGAAGGCGAAUCUCUGGGCCAUUACUGACGCUGAGGAGCGAAAGCGUGGGGAGCGAACAGG